GGCCUGAUGGUGUAGUGGUACAUCUCUUUAAUUGCUUGUGAUGACAGCAUGUUUUAUGAGGAAGCCCCCAGUUCGAACCUGGGUCAGGCCA
Molecule: non-coding RNA, 91 nt
Organism: Mycena leptocephala
Lineage: Eukaryota; Fungi; Basidiomycota; Agaricomycetes; Agaricales; Mycenaceae
Source: the annotation of a GenBank genome assembly